GCCGCAGUAGCUCAGUGGUAGAGCGCACCCUUGGUAAGGGUGAGGUCGAGAGUUCAAUUCUCUCCUGCGGCACCA
This 75-nucleotide transfer RNA is filed under the name bacterium. Its description in RNAcentral is "tRNA-Thr". It matches the Rfam family "tRNA". Rfam says of the family: Transfer RNA (tRNA) molecules are approximately 80 nucleotides in length. Their secondary structure includes four short double-helical elements and three loops (D, anti-codon, and T loops). The record is from RNAcentral. RNAcentral also lists the same sequence under 4 other names.